This 850-nucleotide ribosomal RNA is filed under the name uncultured archaeon. RNAcentral's name for it is "bacterial SSU rRNA". It matches the Rfam family "Archaeal small subunit ribosomal RNA", at positions 23 to 859 of the family's 1478-position model. The record is from RNAcentral.
CCGACUGCUAUUUGGGUGAGAAUAAGCCAUGCGAGUUGAAUGGGAUACCUAAAGUUCCCAUAGCAAACUGCUCAGUAACACAUGAUCAACUUACCCUAUAGAGAAAAAUAACCUCGGGAAACUGAGGAUAAUGUUUCAUAAUUGAAUUGGCUUGGAAAAGUUUUUCAAUGAAAAGGAUAAAAAAAAUGGUUUUUAUCUGCUAUAGGAUAGGAUCGUGUUCGAUUAUGGUUGUUGGUGAGAUAAUGGCUCACCAAGCCGAUAAUCGAUAGGGGCCGUGAGAGCGGGAGCCCCGAGAUGGGUACUGAGACAACGACCCAGGCCUUACGAGGCGCAGCAGGCGCGGAACCUCCGCAAUACACGAAAGUGUGACGGGGUUACCCAAAGUGUUCAAUUUGAACUGUGGUAGGUGAGUAAUGUCCCCUACUAGAAAGGAGAGGGCAAGGCUGGUGCCAGCCGCCGCGGUAAAACCAGCUCUUCAAGUGGUCGGGAUAAUUAUUGGGCUUAAAGUGUCCGUAGCCGGUUUAGUAAGUUCCUGGUAAAAUCGGGUAGCUUAACUAUCUGCAUGCUAGGAAUACUGCUAUACUAGAGGGCGGGAGAGGUCUGAGGUACUACAGGGGUAGGGGUGAAAUCUUAUAAUCCUUGUAGGACCACCAGUGGCGAAGGCGUCAGACUGGAACGCGCCUGACGGUGAGGGACGAAAGCCAGGGGAGCGAACCGGAUUAGAUACCCGGGUAGUCCUGGCCGUAAACGAUGCAUACUAGGUGAUGGUACGGCCAUGAGCCGUAUCAGUGCCGUAGGGAAACCGUUAAGUGUGCCGCCUGGGAAGUACGGUCGCAAGGCUAAAACUUAA